This 252-nucleotide ribosomal RNA is filed under the name uncultured bacterium. RNAcentral's name for it is "partial 16S ribosomal RNA". It matches the Rfam family "Bacterial small subunit ribosomal RNA", at positions 524 to 776 of the family's 1533-position model. The record is from RNAcentral.
UACGGAGGAUGCAAGCGUUAUCCGGAAUGAUUGGGCGUAAAGCGUCCGCAGGUGGCUAUGUAAGUCUGCUGUUAAAGAGUGAGGCUCAACCUCAUAAGAGCAGUGGAAACUACAUGGCUAGAGUGCGUUCGGGGCAGAGGGAAUUCCUGGUGUAGCGGUGAAAUGCGCAGAUAUCAGGAGGAACACCAAUGGCGAAGGCAGCACUCUGGGACGUGACUGACGCUGAGACGCGAAAGCCAGGGAGCGAACGGG